CAUCAUCCUAUUGCCAAUUUUCCAUUCAUUUGAAGAUUUCAUUUACUAUCAGAAUUCGGCCUUAAAAAUGGGUUUAACACAGGCGAAGAUGAUGCUGCUGUUCAUAGCCAUGAUGGUCCUCAUCUCAUUUGCUGCCGCCAUUGUUACCCCUCACGAUUUGAUUCUCAAACCUUCCAAUCUCGGACGAAAGAUUCUUGGGUAUUAUGACCCUCCUAGCACAUAUGGCCCACCAAGUGGAGGGGGAGGCACUACAUGCUGUAAAUAAGAAGCCAUCGAGAAUAGGACCAUAUAUAGCGUAAGAGACUAAGAAGUUAGUGUGUUGUAUGUGAGUAUAUGCAUUUUUUUUUUAUAAUAUUGAUGCUACGUUUGAUAAGAAUAUUAUAUUUUGAAUGUGAGAUACGAUAUUUGUUGUCAGAGCAAUUUAGAUUAACUUAUACCUUGAA
Gossypium arboreum is the source of this 443-nucleotide long non-coding RNA. RefSeq lists it as uncharacterized. The transcript is spliced from 2 exons. NCBI's taxonomy places the organism in Eukaryota, Viridiplantae, Streptophyta, Magnoliopsida, Malvales, Malvaceae. The record is from RefSeq and is a predicted model, not a curated record.